ACUGCUUUAGGUAGUUUUUCACUAUGGCUUUUAACCAUGUGGUCGUGGGUUCGAGUCCCACAGACGGCG
Molecule: non-coding RNA, 69 nt
Organism: Zostera marina
Lineage: Eukaryota; Viridiplantae; Streptophyta; Magnoliopsida; Alismatales; Zosteraceae
Source: Rfam